GGCCGUUCCCCAACCGACCUGAUCCGAGGUCACCGUCGGUAAACAUGUGUGGUGACCAACCCCCGCAGGUCCUUCCCCAGCUAGUGACAGAGCCCCAUACGCUCGAGGACCAGACGGACGUCGCCGCUGCCUUUCUGGCAGGUCCCCGGGGGGACCACACCCAACACACAAGCCGUGCUUGAGGGCUGAAAUGAGGCUCUGAUAG
RNAcentral lists this unclassified non-coding RNA (205 nucleotides) under Talaromyces verruculosus. RNAcentral's name for it is "sequence contains 18S rRNA gene, ITS1, 5.8S rRNA gene, ITS2 and 28S rRNA gene". The record is from RNAcentral. Lineage: Eukaryota; Fungi; Ascomycota; Eurotiomycetes; Eurotiales; Trichocomaceae.